This 253-nucleotide ribosomal RNA is filed under the name uncultured bacterium. RNAcentral describes it as "partial 16S ribosomal RNA". It matches the Rfam family "Bacterial small subunit ribosomal RNA", at positions 524 to 776 of the family's 1533-position model. The record is from RNAcentral.
UACGUAGGGUGCGAGCGUUAAUCGGAAUUACUGGGCGUAAAGCGUGCGCAGGCGGGCUUUUAAGUCAGACGUGAAAUCCCUCAGCUUAACUGGGGAACUGCGUCUGAUACUGGAUGGCUUGGAUUCGGGAGAGGAAUGCGGAAUUCCAGGUGUAGCGGUGAAAUGCGUAGAUAUCUGGAGGAACACCGGUGGCGAAGGCGGCAUUCUGGACCGAUAUUGACGCUGAGGAGCGAAAGCCAGGGGAGCAAACGGG